AUGACACAGCAGCAGACUUGAGAAACUGGUAACUUGCCGGUAAGGAGGAAAAAGAACUGACCUCAUAAGAGGUAUUUAUUUUGCUUUUAAGUAGCAGUUACCAACUUCCAGAUUCCAGAUUCACUUACUUCAGUUCCCCAAACUACCAGCCAAACAAGAUUAAGGGGCCUGGAGGAGAAAAGAGUAGAGGAAGGGGCUGUGGUGAGAUCUCUUUUAAGAACUUGGAAACAAGAGGCAUAUGGUUGAUCAGUGAAGAAAUAUGCGAAAGUACCUUCAAAACAGAACAUCUCACAGAGGAACAAUAUGACUGUAAUUCUACCUAAAAGAAGAUGACGGUACUGAGAAGGGUGUCUGUCAGCCAUGUUGGCACAGAACAAGGAGCUCCUCAGAGGCAAUGCUGUAGUGGAACCAACCCAAGCAAUCCCUUGGGGUGACGUAUAACACCAUCAGGAAUAUAUGACCUUUUUGGCAGGCUUGUCCUCAUUGAGGAAGGGGCAUUAACAAAGGUUCUGAGUCUAAAGUUAUUACACAUUCAAACUGCAAAACUUUUUAAUUUCUAUGACCAAUAAACAAAUUUCUGAUUACUGUUUUCUCAUAUGGCUUGCCAACAGGGUAAAGAAUAAACUUAAGACAUAUCUGA
This is a long non-coding RNA of Lagenorhynchus albirostris (white-beaked dolphin), 640 nucleotides long. RefSeq lists it as uncharacterized. The record is from RefSeq and is a predicted model, not a curated record. NCBI's taxonomy places the organism in Eukaryota, Metazoa, Chordata, Mammalia, Artiodactyla, Delphinidae. The transcript is spliced from 2 exons.